CCUUAAUUAAGUCUAUUUUUUUUUUUUUUUUUUUUUUUUGCAUGGAAAAUUUGUCACCUGGGUUUGUCUUAGGUAAAUGUACAGGUCUGUGGAAAACCAAUCAGAACAUGAGCUUGUCUCCAUGCCAUUGAUGCUCCUGCGGAGGUGGUGAGUGCUUCCAAAACCCAUAAGAAAGUCUGUGAGAAGAAUGGCGAGCACUGACCCCACAAGAUGACACAGUGCUGAAGGACAGGAACCCUCCAUGCCCAGGGAAAGCAGCAUUGUGACAGGAAGCAGAGUGGCUGUGGUGGGCAGACCAAGUUGAUUUUCCAGAAAAAGACUAAAACUCCUAGGAAGAUUGUAUUGGGUUGAGUGUGCCAAGCCCAAAGGCAGACCUAUGAGAACACUGGUUCUUAAGAGAUGCGAGCUUUAUGACCGGGAGCAGAUAGGAGGAGAUGGGCUCGAGGAAUCAUCUUGAAGCUAUGCUAAAAAGAAAAAAAAAGUUUGAAAAUGACUUGUAUACAGGACACAGGUGACCAUCAGUAUCCAGUGGUUCCCCUGCUGGGGAGCACUAAGGCUCUGGAUUUAAGGAAAUCAUCUGGGAGAAUCAGAGAUGUUGUCAUGGUAACCAUGUAAACUAUCCAGGCUCUAUUAUUUUGAGACAUGUUUCUUGGGAAACUAUACCUCUAGUGUUAAUAGGAUGGGACCUUUACUGAUAAUAAUAGUUAGCAUGGGUUGGGUGUUCACAGGGUACUGUGCAUGGUUCUCUGUGCUUUGCCUGUAUUAACUCAUAAUCCUUAUAAGUCUAAGAUGAUGCUGUAUUUUAUUUCUUCUCAUUUUAAAAUCAGGAAGAUCUGAUGCACAGAGAAGAGAAUAACUUGACUUUAAUUCAAGUGGCUUGAAAAUAGUAGAAUUAAGAUUGAAUCUAGGCUGGAAUUGUGGCUCAGUGGUAGAGUACUUGCCUUGCUUGUGUGAGGCACUGGGUUUAAUUCUCAGCACUGCCUAUAAACAAGUGAAUAAAAUAAAGGUCCAUCCACAAUUUAAAAAAUUAAAAAAGAAUAAAGAUAGACUCUGGCUUUGGAGUGCAUGCACUUCAUCCCCACCUUGUGUACUGCCCUCUGUGCCAUUGAUUAGGGAUCAUAGGAAAAAUUAUAUUUUACUCACAGUAGGCAACUCUUCAUUGAGCUAUCCUCCUAAGAUACAGUACUUUCUUUCUUUUGUAAUUUAAUUGGUAGUUUUAUUUUAUUGAAUACACACCUUCUUUUCUAACAUCGAACCUGUGACUUCUGUUGAGGCAAAAGGUGUGUGAGGGCAGCAGCUUCACAAAACCAGAAAGUCAUAAAAAGAAAAUGGCAAAGAAAUGAAGUUACCCCUACCUCACACCAUAUACAAAUUAGCUCAAAAUGGAUCAAUGACUGAAAUGUAAGAGAUGAAACUAAAUCCUUAGAUAAAAAAGAGGCAUAAAUCUUUGUGACCUGAGGCUAGGUAGUGGUUAUACACACACACACACACACACACACACACACCCCACAUAGGAAAAAUAAAUUAGAUUUCAAAAUCACCUGUACUUCCAAAGAUAUUCUCAAGAAAGUGAAAUGACUACUCAAAGAAUGCAAAAAAAUAUCUGCAGACCAUAUAUCUGAUAAAGGAUUUGUGUCCCAAAUAGAUACAGGAUUUCUAAACUCGAUAAUUAAAAGGCAGAUAGUCCAAUUAAAAAUAGGCAAAAGAUUUGGAUAGUUCUCCAAAGAAAAUGUUAAAAAACACACUAAAAGAGGUCCAACAUCAGUACUCAUUAGGGAAAUGCAAAUUAAAAUUGCUGUGAGGUACCACUAUAUAGCUACUAGAAUGGAUGAGGUAAAGAAGGUGGACCAUAACAAGUGUUGGAGAGAAUGUGGAGAAAUUGGAACCUUUGCCCUUUGCUGUUAGGAAUAUAAAAUGGUGUAGCUAUUUUGGGAUAUGGUAUGGCAGUUCCUCAAAAAGUGAAUGAAACAGAGUUACCAUAUGAUCCAUCAAUCUACUCCUUGCUAUAUACCCCUUCAUUAAAAACAUAUGUCCAUAAAAGAACCCAUACACAAAUGCUCAUAGCAGUGUUAUGCACAAUAAUUAUAAAGUGGAAACAAUUCAAAUGUCUGCUGACUGAUGAAUGGGUAAACAAAUUUGGCAUGUCUAUACAAUAGAAUAUUAUUCACUCAUAAAAUGGAAUGAAAUAUUGAUACAUACUGAAAAGUGAUAAAUUUUGAAAAUAUUCCAUGAAAGAAACCCAGUAGUAAGGCCCCAUGCUAUAUGACUCCACUGGUAUGAAAAAUCCAAGACAGGCAAAUCCAUAGAGACAGAAUGUAGAUUAGUGGUCAGCAGAGGCUCUUGGAGAAAGGCGAGAAUGGAGAAUGAUUGCCAAUGCAUACUGGGUUUCUUUUAAGGAUGAUGAAAGUGUUCUGGAAUUAUAUGGUAGUCUGGGCUACACCACUUUGAGAAUAUACUAACACCUAUGGAAUUAUGUGGUUUAGGUGAAUUUUAUAGGAUUAGGAUUCCACUCAAUAUAAAUAGAUACAUACAUGCAUACAUACCAAAAAAAAGAAGAUGGUGCCUAAGUGCAAUAGCUGGAAAUCUUACCAACUUCAUUUUGGAGAUAGGUACCAACAGGAGCUGGGACCCAGGUCCUUGCCAAAUGAAUUUCUUUUUCUUUUUUAUUUCUUAUUUCCUCUCUCGAACUUUGUGGAUUGAAGAAAUGCAUAGUUCAGUGGGGAGGAAAGAGGAUGGUGUUUUUAUUUGAAUAUUGAAGUCUUGCUUCAUGGUCUGCAUACACACCAGAGCUCCAUGUGUAUAACAAAGUAACAAUGGUUAGAAAUGUUUCUCUCCAUACUUUUAGUUUUAGGCUGUGCUGUGCUUUUCUUUCUCUUUUUUUGUUACUUCUGGGUAUUUAGUUAUUUUUAUAGAGAAAGUCCUCAUAGUAAACACAGUAAAAGUCCCCUGAGACCUAACUGUGGAAGAUACAUAGUGUCCUUUCUGUCUGGUUUUAAUAUUAGGGAAAGGCUGACUUCAUAGAAUGAGUUAGAAAGUAUCCCUUUUAUUUUUUGAAGG
RNAcentral lists this long non-coding RNA (3057 nucleotides) under Marmota monax (woodchuck). The stretch from base 912 to 983 matches the Rfam family "tRNA". The record is from RNAcentral. Lineage: Eukaryota; Metazoa; Chordata; Mammalia; Rodentia; Sciuridae.